RNAcentral lists this ribosomal RNA (406 nucleotides) under uncultured bacterium. RNAcentral's name for it is "partial 16S ribosomal RNA". It matches the Rfam family "Bacterial small subunit ribosomal RNA", at positions 30 to 526 of the family's 1533-position model. The record is from RNAcentral.
AUUGAACGCUGGCGGCAGGCCUAACACAUGCAAGUCGAACGAGCGGCGGACGGGUGAGUAAUGUCUGGGGAUCUGCCCGAUGGAGGGGGAUAACUACUGGAAACGGUGGCUAAUACCGCAUACUAUCGGAUGUACCCAUAUGGGAUUAGCUAGUGGGGGGGGUAACGGCUCACCAAGGCGACGAUCCCUAGCUGGUCUGAGAGGAUGAUCAGCCACACUGGAACUGAGACACGGCCCAGACUCCUACGGGAGGCAGCAGUGGGGAAUAUUGCACAAUGGGCGCAAGCCUGAUGCAGCCAUGCCGCGUGAAUGAAGAAGGCCUUCGGGUUGUAAAGUUCUUUCAGUAGGGAGGCGUUAACUACAGAAGAAGCACCGGCUAACUCCGUGCCAGCCGCCGCGGUAAUUC